Haemonchus placei is the source of this 75-nucleotide non-coding RNA. NCBI's taxonomy places the organism in Eukaryota, Metazoa, Nematoda, Chromadorea, Rhabditida, Trichostrongylidae. The record is from Rfam.
GGCCCAAAUCCCAAGUAAGGUAGAUUAGUAAGGUCAGCUGAUCCUACUACUCUACUGUACUUCGAAACUGGGCCC